UACACAGUUGCCAGAGUCUCGUCUGCGGCUUCAUCUUCCACUGUCACACAUCCCGCAGUCUUACUUUCUCUGCAGCACGAGAUAACACUACUGAGUCUUUAAAGAUAAGUCAGUAAUCUCAUCUCCGACUUCGAGGUCUGCUUUGUCUGCCGGCGAUCCUGAGGGAGAGACAUCAGUGAGCAGUUUCUUCCGGACUCCCCGAAGAGCACAAUGCCUAACGCAACCAAUCUUGUGCAUGACGACCCAAAGCCCAUGCAGAAUGACCCGCGAAUGGCCUGCAGCUUCCGUUCCCAGCUAAGUUCCCGAGGCGAGGAGGCGUGCGGGCGU
RNAcentral lists this long non-coding RNA (327 nucleotides) under Penaeus japonicus. Its description in RNAcentral is "uncharacterized LOC122262103, transcript variant X1". The record is from RNAcentral. Lineage: Eukaryota; Metazoa; Arthropoda; Malacostraca; Decapoda; Penaeidae.